RNAcentral lists this non-coding RNA (340 nucleotides) under Leucoagaricus sp. SymC.cos. Its description in RNAcentral is "Bacterial large subunit ribosomal RNA". It matches the Rfam family "Bacterial large subunit ribosomal RNA", at positions 573 to 846 of the family's 2925-position model. Lineage: Eukaryota; Fungi; Basidiomycota; Agaricomycetes; Agaricales; Agaricaceae. The record is from Rfam by way of RNAcentral.
GUCGGAAUUUUAAAACAAAAUUUAGAAUGACGGCGUACCUUUUGCAUAAUGGGUCAGCAACUUAAUAGUAGUAGCAAGGUUAAAAGCCCUAGCGAAAGCGACUGGAUAGGAUAUAAGCUUCUGUAAAAAAAGUUGAAUACUAUGAUGGAUAAGUUACUGCUAUUAGACCCGAAGCCAGGUGAUCUUACUUAGACCAGAUUAUAAUGGAUCGAACGGGUGAAUGUUGCAUAAUUCUCCGAAGAGUUUAAGUAAGCGGUAGAGCAUUUUGCCGCACUGAGAAGUAAUUCUCUUUAUAAAAACUAGCUCAUAACGGUGGAAACCUUAAAUUAAUCUUGUUAAU